RNAcentral lists this non-coding RNA (23 nucleotides) under Cricetulus griseus (Chinese hamster). Lineage: Eukaryota; Metazoa; Chordata; Mammalia; Rodentia; Cricetidae. The record is from RNAcentral.
UUGUGCAUGCAUAGAGAACUCCG